RNAcentral lists this ribosomal RNA (497 nucleotides) under uncultured bacterium. RNAcentral's name for it is "partial 16S ribosomal RNA". It matches the Rfam family "Bacterial small subunit ribosomal RNA", at positions 28 to 507 of the family's 1533-position model. The record is from RNAcentral.
GAUGAACGCUGGCGGCGUGCCUAAUACAUGCAAGUCGAGCGAACAGACGAGGAGCUUGCUCCUCUGACGUUAGCGGCGGACGGGUGAGUAACACGUGGAUAACCUACCUUUAAGACUGGGAUAACUUCGGGAAACCGGAGCUAAUACCGGAUAACAUGUUGAACCGCAUGGUUCAACAGUGAAAGACGGUUUUGCUGUCACUUAUAGAUGGAUCCGCGUCGCAUUAGCUAGUUGGUAAGGUAACGGCUUACCAAGGCAACGAUGCGUAGCCGACCUGAGAGGGUGAUCGGCCACACUGGAACUGAGACACGGUCCAGACUCCUACGGGAGGCAGCAGUAGGGAAUCUUCCGCAAUGGGCGAAAGCCUGACGGAGCAACGCCGCGUGAGUGAAGAAGGUCUUCGGAUCGUAAAACUCUGUUAUUAGGGAAGAACAAAUGUGUAAGUAACUAUGCACGUCUUGACGGUACCUAAUCAGAAAGCCACGGCUAACUACGUG